RNAcentral lists this ribosomal RNA (632 nucleotides) under Pseudoalteromonas sp. SC-D6-4. RNAcentral describes it as "bacterial SSU rRNA". It matches the Rfam family "Bacterial small subunit ribosomal RNA", at positions 60 to 682 of the family's 1533-position model. Lineage: Bacteria; Pseudomonadati; Pseudomonadota; Gammaproteobacteria; Alteromonadales; Pseudoalteromonadaceae. The record is from RNAcentral.
AGUCGAGCGGAACGAAGAGGUGCUUGCACCUCUGGCGUCGAGCGGGGGCUGGGUGAGUAAUGCUUGGGAAUAUGCCUUAUGGUGGGGGACAACAGUUGGAAACGACUGCUAAUACCGCAUGAUGUCUACGGACCAAAGUGGGGGACCUUCGGGCCUCACGCAAUAAGAUUAGCCCAAGUGGGAUUAGCUAGUUGGUGAGGUAAUGGCUCACCAAGGCGACGAUCCCUAGCUGGUUUGAGAGGAUGAUCAGCCACACUGGGACUGAGACACGGCCCAGACUCCUACGGGAGGCAGCAGUGGGGAAUAUUGCACAAUGGGCGCAAGCCUGAUGCAGCCAUGCCGCGUGUGUGAAGAAGGCCUUCGGGUUGUAAAGCACUUUCAGUAAGGAGGAAAGGUUAAGUGUUAAUAGCACUUAGCUGUGACGUUACUUACAGAAGAACCACCGGCUAACUCCGUGCCAGCAGCCGCGGUAAUACGGAGGGUGCGAGCGUUAAUCGGAAUUACUGGGCGUAAAGCGUACGCAGGCGGUUUGUUAAGCGAGAUGUGAAAGCCCCGGGCUCAACCUGGGAACUGCAUUGCGAACUGGGAUACUAGAGUGUGAUAGACGGUGGUAGAAUUUCAAGUGUAUCGGU